Molecule: ribosomal RNA, 961 nt
Filed under: uncultured Gammaproteobacteria bacterium
Lineage: Bacteria; Pseudomonadati; Pseudomonadota; Gammaproteobacteria
Description: bacterial SSU rRNA
Rfam family: Bacterial small subunit ribosomal RNA
Source: RNAcentral
GAACGGUAACAUUUCUAGCUUGCUAGAAGAUGACGAGUGGCGGACGGGUGAGUAAUGCUUGGGAACUUGCCUUUGCGAGGGGGAUAACAGUUGGAAACGACUGCUAAUACCGCAUAAUGUCUUCGGACCAAACGGGGCUUCGGCUCCGGCGCAAAGAGAGGCCCAAGUGAGAUUAGCUAGUUGGUAAGGUAACGGCUUACCAAGGCGACGAUCUCUAGCUGUUCUGAGAGGAAGAUCAGCCACACUGGGACUGAGACACGGCCCAGACUCCUACGGGAGGCAGCAGUGGGGAAUAUUGCACAAUGGGGGAAACCCUGAUGCAGCCAUGCCGCGUGCGUGAAGAAGGCCUUCGGGUUGUAAAGCACUUUCAGUUGUGAGGAAAAGUUAGUAGUUAAUACCUGCUAGCCGUGACGUUAACAACAGAAGAAGCACCGGCUAACUCCGUGCCAGCAGCCGCGGUAAUACGGAGGGUGCGAGCGUUAAUCGGAAUUACUGGGCGUAAAGCGCACGCAGGCGGUUUGUUAAGCUAGAUGUGAAAGCCCCGGGCUCAACCUGGGAUGGUCAUUUAGAACUGGCAGACUAGAGUCUUGGAGAGGGGAGUGGAAUUCCAGGUGUAGCGGUGAAAUGCGUAGAUAUCUGGAGGAACAUCAGUGGCGAAGGCGACUCCCUGGCCAAAGACUGACGCUCAUGUGCGAAAGUGUGGGUAGCGAACAGGAUUAGAUACCCUGGUAGUCCACACCGUAAACGCUGUCUACUAGCUGUGUGUGUCUUUAAGAUGUGCGUAGCGAAGCUAACGCGCUAAGUAGACCGCCUGGGGAGUACGGCCGCAAGGUUAAAACUCAAAUGAUUGACGGGGGCCCGCACAAGCGUGCAGCAUGUGUUUAAUUCGAUGCAACGCGAGACCUUACCUACACUUGACAUGCUGAGAAGUUACUAGAGAUAGUUUCGUGCCUUCGGGACU